GCGCACUCGAUGGUUAAGAUUUGUUGCCUCUUCAUAUAUACUCCCUCUUUCGAAUUAUGAGUCUCUUUGAUUUUUUUUUAUAUAUCGAAUUUGCUAUAUAUCUAGAUAAAUAACAAACUAGAUGUACCAAAAAAAUUAAAAAAAACUUAUAAUUUUGAACGGAGAGAGUAUAACUACUCUCUUUAACCACUUAGAAAUCCUAACUGUAGUUGAUGUGAUGUUUUUUAAUUUUUUAUUUCUAUUGUUUUAAAUUUUUCCAGGGAUUUUGCUCUCCUUUAUUUUUUUAAAAAUUUCUUUCCCCCCGGGAUUUUACUCUUCUUAGAGCAUGUAACACCCUAAAUUUUGUUCUUUUGGAAAUAGAUGAAAAAUAAUUUAAUUUUGAAUUUUUGUGCUCAUGAAACAUAAGAAAAGUAAUAUUUUUCAUUAAAAUAAAAAUUUAAUAUAAGGCUUAGCAACUAUUGUGUGUAAAUCAUGCUGGUGCAUUUUAUUUUUGAGAUGAGUGAUUUUUGACCAAAGUUUGAAAUAUUUCAAACAGAUUUCUAAAUGGAUUUGAAAUAGGCUUUGAAUUGAAGAAAGAGAAAAGAAAAGGAAACCCACACCUCUCCCUCUCUCAGAUUUUGGCCUGAAAGGCCCAGCGAGCGCCCCCAGCUCCCCUCGCGCGGCCCAACUCCCCCUCCUAGCCCAACAGCAGGCGCGU
Molecule: long non-coding RNA, 697 nt
Filed under: Sorghum bicolor (sorghum)
Lineage: Eukaryota; Viridiplantae; Streptophyta; Magnoliopsida; Poales; Poaceae
Description: long non-coding RNA (SBIC_LNC007225)
Source: RNAcentral